CCUACGGGUGGCAGCAGUGAGGAAUAUUGGUCAAUGGACGAGAGUCUGAACCAGCCACGUAGCGUGAAGGCUGACUGCCCUAUGGGUUGUACACUUCUUUUAUAAAGGAAUAAUACGCGGCACGUGUGCCUUUUUGCAUGUACUUUAUGCAUAAGGCUCGGCUAACUCCGUGCCAGCAGCCGCGGUAAUACGGAGGCUGCUAGCGUUAUCCGUAUUUAUUGGGUUUAAUGGGUGCGCAGGCGGCCUGUUCAGUCAGCGGUAAAAGCCCGGGGCUCAACCCCGGCGAGCCGUUGAAACUGGCGGGCUGGAGUUGGAGAGAAGUACGCGGAAUGAGCGGUGUAGCGGUGAAAUGCUUAGAUAUCGCGCAGAACCCCGAUUGCGAAGGCAGCGUACCGGCUCCAAACUGACGCUGAGGCACGAAAGCGUGGGUAUCGAACAGGAUUAGAUACCCUUGUAGUC
RNAcentral lists this ribosomal RNA (459 nucleotides) under uncultured bacterium. Its description in RNAcentral is "partial 16S ribosomal RNA". It matches the Rfam family "Bacterial small subunit ribosomal RNA", at positions 338 to 795 of the family's 1533-position model. The record is from RNAcentral.